AUACGGAGGGUGCAAGCGUUACUCGGAAUCACUGGGCGUAAAGCGCGCGCAGGCGGGUUGGCAAGUCAGAUGUGAAAUCCUACAGCUUAACUGUAGAACUGCAUUUGAAACUGCUAACCUAGAGUAUGGGAGGGGGAGAUGGAAUUAGUGGUGUAGGGGUAAAAUCCGUAGAUAUCACUAGGAAUACCGAAAGCGAAGGCGAUCUCCUGGAACAUAACUGACGCUAAGGCGUGAAAGCGUGGGGAGCAAACAGGAUUAGAAACCCUUGUAGUCC
RNAcentral lists this ribosomal RNA (274 nucleotides) under uncultured bacterium. Its description in RNAcentral is "partial 16S ribosomal RNA". It matches the Rfam family "Bacterial small subunit ribosomal RNA", at positions 523 to 796 of the family's 1533-position model. The record is from RNAcentral.